UCUCCGUAGGUGAACCUGCGGAAGGAUCAUUACUGAGUGAGGGCCCCUCGGGGUCCAACCUCCCACCCGUGUUUAACGAACCUUGUUGCUUCGGCGGGCCCGCCUCACGGCCGCCGGGGGGCAUUUGCCCCCGGGCCCGCGCCCGCCGAAGCCACCUGUGAACGCUGUCUGAAGUAUGCAGUCUGAGACAAUUAUUAAAUUAAUUAAAACUUUCAACAACGGAUCUCUUGGUUCCG
This 236-nucleotide unclassified non-coding RNA is filed under the name plant metagenome. Its description in RNAcentral is "partial contains small subunit ribosomal RNA, internal transcribed spacer 1, and 5.8S ribosomal RNA". The record is from RNAcentral.